AUUGAACGCUGGCGGCAUGCCUUACACAUGCAAGUCGAACGGCAGCGCGGGGGCAACCCUGGCGGCGAGUGGCGAACGGGUGAGUAAAAUAUCGGAACGUGCCCUAAAGUGGGGGAUAACGUAGCGAAAGGUACGCUAAUACCGCAUAAGAUCUAAGGAUGAAAGCGGGGGAUCGCAAGACCUCGUGCUUUAGGAGUGGCCGAUAACUGAUUAGAUAGUUGGUGGGGUAAAGGCUCACCAAGGCGACGAUCAGUAGCUGGUCUGAGAGGACGACCAGCCACACUGGGACUGAGACACGGCCCAGACUCCUACGGGAGGCAGCAGUGGGGAAUUUUGGACAAUGGGGGCAACCCUGAUCCAGCAAUGCCGCGUGUGUGAAGAAGGCCUUCGGGUUGUAAAGCACUUUUGUUCGGGACGAAACGGUUUGGGCUAAUACCCUGAGCUAAUGACGGUACCGGAAGAAUAAGCACCGGCUAACUACGUGCCAGCCGCCGCCGUAA
This 500-nucleotide ribosomal RNA is filed under the name uncultured bacterium. RNAcentral's name for it is "partial 16S ribosomal RNA". It matches the Rfam family "Bacterial small subunit ribosomal RNA", at positions 29 to 523 of the family's 1533-position model. The record is from RNAcentral.